UGGGGAAUCUUGCACAAUGGGGGAAACCCUGAUGCAGCGACGCCGCGUGAGCGAUGAAGCCCUUCGGGGUGUAAAGCUCUUUCGGCAGGAACGAUAAUGACGGUACCUGCAGAAGAAGCUGCGGCUAACUACGUGCCAGCAGCCGCGGUAAUACGUAGGCAGCAAGCGUUGUUCGGAGUUACUGGGCGUAAAGAGUGCGUAGGCGGUCCUCUAAGUUCGGUGUGAAAUCUCCCGGCUCAACUGGGAGGGUGCGCCGGAAACUGGAGGGCUUGAGUAUGGGAGAGGAAAGCUGAAUUCCUGGUGUAGCGGUGAAAUGCGUAGAUAUCAGGAGGAACACCUGUGUGUAGACGGCUCUCUGGACCAUGACUGACGCUGAGGCACGAGAGCGUGGGGAGCAAACA
RNAcentral lists this ribosomal RNA (401 nucleotides) under uncultured prokaryote. RNAcentral describes it as "bacterial SSU rRNA". It matches the Rfam family "Bacterial small subunit ribosomal RNA", at positions 355 to 774 of the family's 1533-position model. The record is from RNAcentral.